AUUGAACGCUGGCGGCAGGCCUAACACAUGCAAGUCGGGCGGUAACAGGAAGUAGCUUGCUACUUUGCUGACGAGCGGCGGACGGGUGAGUAAUGUCUGGGAAACUGCCUGAUGGAGGGGGAUAACUACUGGAAACGGUAGCUAAUACCGCAUAACGUCGCAAGACCAAAGAGGGGGACCUUCGGGCCUCUUGCCAUCAGAUGUGCCCAGAUGGGAUUAGCUAGUAGGUGGGGUAAAGGCUCACCUAGGCGACGAUCCCUAGCUGGUCUGAGAGGAUGACCAGCCACACUGGAACUGAGACACGGUCCAGACUCCUACGGGAGUCAGCAGUGGGGAAUAUUGCACAAUGGGCGCAAGCCUGAUGCAGCCAUGCCGCGUGUAUGAAGAAGGCCUUCGGGUUGUAAAGUACUUUCAGCGGGGAGGAAGGUGCUGAGGUUAAUAACCUCAGCAAUUGACGUUACCCGCAGAAGAAGCACCGGCUAACUCCGUGCCAGCAGCCGCGGUAA
RNAcentral lists this ribosomal RNA (506 nucleotides) under uncultured bacterium. Its description in RNAcentral is "partial 16S ribosomal RNA". It matches the Rfam family "Bacterial small subunit ribosomal RNA", at positions 30 to 523 of the family's 1533-position model. The record is from RNAcentral.